AUUGAACGCUGGCGGCAUGCUUUACACAUGCAAGUCGAACGGCAGCGGGGAGGAGCUUGCUUCUCUGCCGGCGAGUGGCGAACGGGUGAGUAAUACAUCGGAACGUGUCGAGAAGAGGGGGAUAACCACCCGAAAGGGUGGCUAAUACCGCAUAAAUUCUGAGGAAGAAAGCUGGGGACCUGGGAAUAGGCCUAGCGCUUUUUGAGCGGCCGAUGUCGGAUUAGCUAGUUGGUGAGGUAAAGGCUCACCAAGGCGAAGAUCUGUAGCGGGUCUGAGAGGAUGAUCCGCCACACUGGGACUGAGACACGGCCCAGACUCCUACGGGAGGCAGCAGUGGGGAAUUUUGGGACAUGGGGGCAACCCUGGAUCCACCAUGCCGCGUGUAUGAAGAAAGGCUUAGGGUUGUAAAGUACUUUUGGUAGGGGAGAAAGUCAGCUGUGAAAUAUGGCUGAUACUGACCGUACCUAAAGAUUAGCACCGGCUAACUACGUGCCAGCAGCCGCGGGUAUACGUAGGGUGCGAGCGUUAAUCGGAAUUAUGGGCGUAAAGCGAGUGUAAACGGUUAUUUAGCCAGAUGUGAAAUACCCGAGCCUAACUUGGGAGGUGCAUAUGGAACUGGGUAGCUAGAGUGUGUCAGAGGGAGGUAGAACUCCACGUGUAGCAGUGAAAUGGCGUAGAGAUGUGGAAGAAUACCGAUGGCGAAGGCAGCCUCCUGGGAUAACACUGACGUUGAGGCUCGAAAGCGUGGGGAGCAAACAGGAUUAGAUACCCUGGUAGUCCACGCCCUAAACGAUGACAAUUAGCUGUUGGCCCCAUUAAGGGGUGAGUAGCGAAGCUAACGCGUGAAAUUGUCCGCCUGGGGAGUACGGUCGCAAGAUUAAAACUCAAAGGAAUUGACGGGGACCCGCACAAGCGGUGGAUGAUGUGGAUUAAUUCGAUGCAACGCGAAGAACCUUACCAGCUCUUGACAUCUUCUGACAACUCUAGAGAUAGAGCGUUCCCUUCGGGGACAGAAUGACAGGUGGUGCAUGGUUGUCGUCAGCUCGUGUCGUGAGAUGUUGGGUUAAGUCCCGUAACGAGCGCAACCCUUGUUGUUAGUUGCCAGCAUUAAGUUGGGCACUUUAACGAGACUGCCGGUGAUAAACCGGAGGAAGGCGGGGAUGACGUCAAAUCAUCAUGCCCCUUAUGAGCUGGGCUACACACGUGCUACAAUGGAUGGUACAACGAGCAGCGAUCCCGCAAGGGCUAGCUAAUCUUUCAAAGCCAUUCUCAGUUCGGAUUGCACUCUGCAACUCGAGUGCAUGAAGUCGGAAUCGCUAGUAAUCGCGAAUCAGAAUGUCGCGGUGAAUCCGUUCCCGGGUCU
RNAcentral lists this ribosomal RNA (1363 nucleotides) under uncultured bacterium. RNAcentral describes it as "bacterial SSU rRNA". It matches the Rfam family "Bacterial small subunit ribosomal RNA", at positions 28 to 1381 of the family's 1533-position model. The record is from RNAcentral.